Molecule: long non-coding RNA, 1695 nt
Organism: Crotalus tigris (Tiger rattlesnake)
Lineage: Eukaryota; Metazoa; Chordata; Lepidosauria; Squamata; Viperidae
Exons: 3
Source: RefSeq, a predicted model, not a curated record
AAGGGCCGCGAGACGGAAGCCUUAAAACCAACAAUGUUACACAGGAACUCCUCAAAUUACAACCGUUUGAAGUUACAAUCACGCUGAAAGAAUUGACUUGGGACUUGUCCUCGCACUUACGGCCAUCACAGCAUCCCCAUGUGAACGCCAUUUAUAACCGUCCCCCCACCGGCUUCCAACAAGCAAAGUCAACGCGGGAAGCUGGACUUGCUUUCAACAUCUGCACGAUUCGCUUAAGAACGGCAGGGGUUUUCUUCACGACCGUGGCAAAAGAGAGGAAGAAAAAAAGGGUCGUAAAAUCACAGCUCUCUUAACAAUCGCCUUGCUCAGCGAUGGAAAUUCCGCUUCCGGUUGUAAGUUGAGGACUACAUGCAAGGCACACUUUGGUCCUACUCUGCAGGGCGGGGAGCGUGUUUAAACUGCUGGAGAGCCGUGCCAAAAUCAAAGCCACGCCUUCGUUCUCUCUGCCAAGCAUAUAUUUUCUCAGCUGUGCUUGCAUAGUUUGAGAAGAGAAAAACAACAAGCUCUUAAUCUUUUCGGUCUUGUCAAUAUUCAAAAUAUUUCCCCCGGCUUCGCAGACGCCACACCUCCGUUCCCUUACAAAGGAGAGGCUGAACACCCAGCUCGGAUGUUACCCUCCUUCCAGGGCAAAAGCCUCCAUGAGGGACGGCCUGUUUUCCGCCGCCACGGGGGUAAGAACAGGAAGAACAGAGUUGGAAGGGACCUUGGAGGUCUUCUAGUCCAACCCUCUGCUCAGGCAGGAAACCCUAUAAGCCACCUCUGAAGGUGGUAAAUGCGAAGACUCGUGGCCAAGUGACUUUGUCAUCGCUGCGAACGGCUGCUAAAUGAGGCCGUCGCGAACCAAGGACCUCCUGUAUGAUUACUACUGACUUCCAUCCAAGGGGGCCAAUCCCAGCCUUAUGGAAAUACACAGAAUAAUCAAAGGGCAGGGGAUAAUGGUAUUCCGUGUCUGUGGAAAGAUCCAAUUUCCCCCCACACGUUUCUUACCACACCUCUGUAAGGUAGGCUGGUGUUCUGAAACACCAGAUAAGGAACUUACCCCCAGCCACCGCUGGCCUUUGUUAGCUGUGUGAUGGAGCUGAACUUUGCGGAGAGAAAUACUGUAAAUCACACCAUCUUCGAACUCUUCUCCGAUCUCCUGAGUUGAGCUCUGGAACGAGAAAUGGCAGAAAAAUUGGGCAUUCUGCUUAUUAAGCAGUUAAAACUCAGCUCUGGAUUUCACGGAAAACUCACACACACAAAGAGUUUGUUUCGUUUAUUAAACUUAUACGCUGCUCAUCUCGCCUAGAGACCGUGUUAUUUAUCUCGGGGACAUCAGGGGCAGCCUGCAACUCUACCUUUGCUGCAGGGGGAGGAGGAUGGGAACUGUAGUCCCCAGUAACGAGAGAAAACACAACUGAUCCUGAACAGGAUUAGCUCCCGAUCGGACGUUGCCAUCCGGACUCUGCCACAGCUAGUGCCCUCUGUAGAUGGGUUGGGACUACAACCCCCAUCAUCCUCAACAGGGCAGACUGGUUCUAGGAAUGCUUGUCCAGCCGGGCUUUGAAAGUUGCCGUUCUAACCGAAGGCAGACCGAACUGAAAGAUAAAAUUAUUGAAACCCUUGCAAAUUUAACUGGGUUCCUUGUGAUUCAAAUCUUCCUUAAGCUGUUUAGGGCAAAAAAAAAAAAAAAAA